UAAACAGCAAAACAUAUAAGAUUACUGGAUAGAAUAAAACAGUAGCUCAGCUAGCUGAGGCCAGUUCUGAGCUGGAGAAGUUCAUUCAUCACUAAUGUGCACUCAGAUGGUUGGUUGUGGUACUUUAAGGCCUUCAGUGCGUCAUCAAGAGAAGGUGCAAUUUACCCUGAAGCAGUGGUAAAGGAGCUUUGAUGUCAAUUGAUUGUGUUACUCUUCUGUUCAAGAAGGCAGACUGAACCAGGUGCCUGUGAUCAACCCUCUUUGGAGUUCUCCAAAUCAGAAUGAAUUCAACAAAGGAACAAAGGCCCAGUUCUCCUGCCAGCUUAGCAUAAACCAUUCAACAUGUUCUUUCAGGAAAUAUUAGCACAUGUUCUCUUUGAACUUAGCACUUCAUGCAGCCAUCUGUUGAAGAAGUAAUGGGCUUCUUUGUUUUGUGGAAGUUCGAGUUGUACCUGUGGAAACAAGGGGAAGAAAUGAGAUUGCUGUGUCUGCCGCUUUACUCGGUAUCAAAUUAAGAUUUGGAUUGCUGCUUUUGUUGAGUCUAACAAAUGUUAACUGUGAUGGAUGGAUGCAAAUGAUCCAGCUUUUUUUCCAGACUCACCAGAAGCAAGGAUACCCCAUUUUGCUUUUCUGACAUUUUCAUCUGUGCUCCAGUCCAGUGAGAGUGACUAAUAAGAAGAUGUUGGAAGCAAUCGGUAGAACUCUUUUCCUAUUGAAAAGAAGAAGCUUUUGGCAUAAACUGAUAACAUGCAUGGGGGAAAGGCGGAGGGGAAGAGGCAUUCAGAUCAGCCUGCUUAGUCUUUCAGUAGAUAUGACAGGUGCUUAAUGAAAACUUUGAGGAUCAACUUUGUACUAAUGUGCAAAACACUUCAAGGAAUCUGUAUCGUGUCAAAGCUUUGAGGCAGAGGAGCCCAGUGGCAAGCUGGCUUAAUCAGAUUGUUCUUUGUUUCAUUCUGUUACACGUUAAUUCUUAUGGGUUUGCUUGCUGCUCCUUUUUAUAUGGAGAAAAUGUUUGGGGCUAUAAUAUUUUAAAGGCUAUUGUCUGAUCAAAUAAAUCUUGAUUUAUUAGUUUUUGUUAAGUUAAUUGCUCAAUUAAAUUUGCAUAAAUAAACAUACGGGAUAAAAACAAUA
This is a long non-coding RNA of Hemicordylus capensis (graceful crag lizard), 1131 nucleotides long. RefSeq lists it as uncharacterized. Lineage: Eukaryota; Metazoa; Chordata; Lepidosauria; Squamata; Cordylidae. The record is from RefSeq and is a predicted model, not a curated record. The transcript is spliced from 3 exons.